CUUGUUGGGGUUGUAGGACACUCUAUACGGAGUUACAAAGGACGACAUUAGACGAAUCAUCUGGAAAGAUGAAUCAAAGAAGGUAAUAAUCCUGUAGUCGAAAAUGUUGUCUCUCUUGAGUGGAUCCUGAGUACGACGGAGCACGUGAAAUUCCGUCGGAAUCUGGGAGGACCAUCUCCUAAGGCUAAAUACUCUCUAGUGACCGAUAGUGAACCAGUACCGUGAGGGAAAGGUGAAAAGCACCCCGGGAGGGGAGUGAAAUAGAACCUGAAACCGUGUGCUUACAAGUAGUCAGAGCCCGUUAAUGGGUGAUGGCGUGCCUUUUGUAGAAUGAACCGGCGAGUUACGAUUUGAUGCAAGGUUAAGCAGUAAAUGUGGAGCCGUAGCGAAAGCGAGUCUGAAUAGGGCGUUUAGUAUUUGGUCGUAGACCCGAAACCAGGUGAUCUACCCUUGGUCAGGUUGAAGUUCAGGUAACACUGAAUGGAGGACCGAACCGACUUACGUUGAAAAGUGAGCGGAUGAACUGAGGGUAGCGGAGAAAUUCCAAUCGAACCUGGAGAUAGCUGGUUCUCUCCGAAAUAGCUUUAGGGCUAGCCUCAAGUGAUGAUUAUUGGAGGUAGAGCACUGUUUGGACGAGGGGCCCCUCUCGGGUUACCGAAUUCAGACAA
RNAcentral lists this ribosomal RNA (668 nucleotides) under Staphylococcus aureus. RNAcentral's name for it is "partial 23S ribosomal RNA". It matches the Rfam family "Bacterial large subunit ribosomal RNA", at positions 288 to 952 of the family's 2925-position model. The record is from RNAcentral. Lineage: Bacteria; Bacillati; Bacillota; Bacilli; Caryophanales; Staphylococcaceae.